This 433-nucleotide ribosomal RNA is filed under the name uncultured bacterium. RNAcentral's name for it is "partial 16S ribosomal RNA". It matches the Rfam family "Bacterial small subunit ribosomal RNA", at positions 29 to 507 of the family's 1533-position model. The record is from RNAcentral.
AACGAACGCUGGCGGCAUGCCUAACACAUGCAAGUCGAACGAGACCUUCGGGUCUAGUGGCGCACGGGUGCGUAACGCGUGGGAACCUGCCCUUAGGUUCGGAAUAACUCCCCGAAAGGGGUGCUAAUACCGGAUAAUGUCUUCGGACCAAAGAUUUAUCGACUUUGGAUGGGCCCGCGUUGGAUUAGCUAGUUGGUAGGGUAAAAGCCUACCAAGGCGACGAUCCAUAGCUGGUCUGAGAGGAUGAUCAGCCACACUGGGACUGAGACACGGCCCAGACUCCUACGGGAGGCAGCAGUGGGGAAUAUUGGACAAUGGGCGAAAGCAUGAUCCAGCAAGGCCGGGUGAGUGAUGAAGGCCGUAGGGUUGUAAAGCUCUUUUACCCGGGAUGAUAAUGACAGUACCGGGAGAAUAAGCACCGGCUAACUCCGUG